CGCGGCCUAUCAGCUUGUUGGUGGGGUCACGGCCCACCAAGGCGACGACGGUAAGCCGGCCUGAGAGGGCGACCGGCCACACUGGGACUGAGACACGGCCCAGACUCCUACGGGAGGCAGCAGUGGGGAAUAUUGCGCAAUGGGCGGAAGCCUGACGCAGCGACGCCGCGUGAGGGAUGAAGGCCUUCGGGUUGUAAACCUCUUUCAGCAGGGACGAAAUUGACGGUACCUGCAGAAGAAGCUCCGGCCAACUACGUGCCAGCAGCCGCGGUAAGACGUAGGGAGCAAGCGUUGUCCGGAUUUAUUGGGCGUAAAGAGCUCGUAGGUGGUUCAGUAAGUCGGAUGUGAAAACCCAAGGCUCAACCUUGGGACGCCAUUCGAUACUGCUGUGACUCGAGUCCGGUAGAGGAGUGUGGAAUUUCUGGUGUAGCGGUGAAAUGCAUAGAUAUCAGAAGGAACACCAACGGCGAAGGCAGCACUCUGGGCCGGUACUGACACUGAGGAGCGAAAGCGUGGGGUGCGAACAGGAUUAGAUACCCUGGUAGUCCACGCCGUAAACGUUGGGCACUAGGUGUGGGGGCUUAUCAACAGCUUCCGUGCCGCAGCUAACGCAUUAAGUGCCCCGCCUGGGGAGUACGG
Molecule: ribosomal RNA, 639 nt
Filed under: uncultured Actinomycetes bacterium
Lineage: Bacteria; Bacillati; Actinomycetota; Actinomycetes
Description: bacterial SSU rRNA
Rfam family: Bacterial small subunit ribosomal RNA
Source: RNAcentral